This 1693-nucleotide long non-coding RNA is filed under the name Homo sapiens (human). Its description in RNAcentral is "HSALNT0190979". Lineage: Eukaryota; Metazoa; Chordata; Mammalia; Primates; Hominidae. The record is from RNAcentral.
UUAAUUUAGAGAGAACUGCUACCUUAACAAUAUUAAGACUGAGUAAUUAAUAUUAUUAUUUGGUCUUCCAAUCUGAAAACACAGUAUAUCUCUCUAUUUUGGUCUUUAAUUUCUCUCAGCAAUGUUUUGUAGUUUUCCAUGUACAGGUCUUUCAAGUAUUUUUAUCAGAUUACUCUCCAUAUAUUUCAUAUUUUUGAUACUAUCUCAAAUGGUUAUUUCAAUUUCUUAUUUAUUGUCAGCAGAUAAAAAUACGAUUGAUUUUUAUGUAUGAUCUUGUAUUCUGCAACCUUGCUAAAGUCACUUUUAGUUCCAGGAAUUUUUUUUUGUAGAUUGCAUCAUGUUUUCUAUUUAAAUAAUCAUGUUAUCUGUGAAUAGAGUUUCACUUCUUCCUUUCCAAGCUGAAUGCUGUUAUAUCUUUCUUACAUUAUUUCAGUAAAAAUGUGACUACAAACUUCCAGAGGCCCUUCCAAAGAGAAUAAAGUCACUGAUUCAUCAUCACUGCCAUCACUGUUGGCAAGAAUUCUUCAAAAGCAAGUGAAAAUUGUUCCCCCUCAGUAUUAGACAGCUAUGGAAAUCCUAAGAAACUUCUGUACUGGGCUCUUAAAUUACCCCUCCCAUGAGUUUGGUCCCUAGUCUAUACACAGCUUGUAUUAGUCCGUUUUCAUGCUGCCAAUAGACAUACCCAAGACUGGGUAAGUUAUAAAGAAAGGGGUUUAAUUGACUCAUAGUUCCACAUGGCUGGGGAGGCCUCACAAUCAUGGCAGAAGAUGAAGGAAGAGCAAAGGGAUGUCUUACAUGGUGGUGGCAAAGAGAGAAAAUGAGAGCCAAGAAAAGGGCUUUCCCCUUAUAAAAUCAUAAGAUCUCAUGAGACUUAUUCACUACCACAAGAACAGUAUGGAGGAAACCGUUCCCACGAUUCAAUUAUUCCCCACCAGGUCCCUCCCACAACACGUGGGAAUUAUGGGAGCUACAAUUCAAGAUGAGAUUUGGGUGGAGACACAGCCAAACCAUAUCACACCUACACAUGUCUAUAUACACACACAGCAUUUUUCCAAAGUUUCUUCUCUUAAGGGCAGAUAGCAUUAGUUGCGGAUGCUUACUUGCUGUACCAAACCCAUUGUGAAGCCAGGCCUCCUCACUCCCAUUCUAAUGCCCUUAGGGGUAUGACUUGGGUUACCACUCCAAAUUCUCUUUUCUCUUGUGUCUCCCAGAAGGACAGUAUUUGUCAAUAUAAGACAAAAGUUCUGUUACAUACCUUCCCCUGAACAAUGGUAACUUUGGACAUCACUUCUACCUGAAAGAGACCUUCGAGCAAUUCUUCUCAGGUAAAAGGGUAUCUACUCCAAGGAAAUUUGUAAAUUCCAGUGCUAGAGGCCUGGCACAGCGGCUCAAGUCUGUAAUCCCAGCACUUUGGGAGGCCAGGGUGGGAAGAUCACCUGAGGUCAGGAAUUCAAGACCAGUCUGGCCAACAUAGCAACCCUGUCUCUACUAAAAAUGCAAAACAAUUAGCCAGGCAUGGUGGCAGUUGCCUGUAAUCCCAGCUACUCCGGAGGCUGAGGCAGGAGAAUCACUUGAACCUUGGAGGCAGAGGUUGCAGUGAGCCGAGAUCGCGCCACUGCACUCCAGCUUGGGUGACAGAGUGAGACUUUGUUUCAAAUAAAUAAAUAAAUAAGUUCUAACACUAGAAAAAAAA